GCCUGGGUGGCUCAGUUGGUUGAGCGUCUGACUUCAGCUCAGGUCACCAUCUCACAGUUCGUGAGUUUGAGCCCCGCGCCGGGCU
Molecule: transfer RNA, 85 nt
Organism: Felis catus (domestic cat)
Lineage: Eukaryota; Metazoa; Chordata; Mammalia; Carnivora; Felidae
Rfam family: tRNA
About the family: Transfer RNA (tRNA) molecules are approximately 80 nucleotides in length. Their secondary structure includes four short double-helical elements and three loops (D, anti-codon, and T loops).
Source: Rfam